GUCAUAACAGAGGUGGGGUUUGAAUCCGGCAAGAGAAAGACACAAGAACUUCAUCGAAAAGCAGAAACAGACAAAAGGCGUCGGACGGUGCGGGUAUUGGAUCUAUGUGAUCUCCCAAAGAUGGCAACGAGUCUUAAGGCUCCGUGCGCAACAACUAGGAAAGCUCAUCGGCAGAGGGUGCUUUCGCAGAGCCUGGUAUCAUCCUUCUGAAGACCAAAAGUACAGAGCCAACAAUUUUGCACAGAGAGACCAAAGUUACUGGACUGGUAAUCAAGCAAGAGUUCUAUAGUUUGUAGUUUUCUUCUUAGUUGAAGCCAAUUAUAAGCACUAGGAGCUAAUCAAUAGAGUCCUGUUCUAGGAGGUAAUGUUGAUGUGUUUGCCGGAAAUUGUAUCUAGCAACCUGUAAUCAAGACUUUAAUUUCUCAGCUAUAAGAACCUAGUUUGCUUUUACA
This is an RNA transcript of Eucalyptus grandis, 452 nucleotides long. RefSeq lists it as uncharacterized. NCBI's taxonomy places the organism in Eukaryota, Viridiplantae, Streptophyta, Magnoliopsida, Myrtales, Myrtaceae. The record is from RefSeq and is a predicted model, not a curated record. The transcript is spliced from 2 exons.